This 651-nucleotide ribosomal RNA is filed under the name Aulacomnium acuminatum. RNAcentral's name for it is "eukaryotic LSU rRNA". The stretch from base 210 to 362 matches the Rfam family "5.8S ribosomal RNA". The record is from RNAcentral. Lineage: Eukaryota; Viridiplantae; Streptophyta; Bryopsida; Aulacomniales; Aulacomniaceae.
GCACACACGAGUUGCAGCAAACCACGCGGCGAACCAACACGUUGUCCCCCCCCUUCCGGUGGCCUCGGCCGCGGCGGCUAAACCCCGUCGCGUCCGUCGUCGCCGCGUCGGAAUUUUGCUACCGAAUCACUUCGACCAAAUGACUUAGUCCCAUUUUGGACCCCUUAACUUCUAGUUAGGGGGCGAGAUGAACAUAAAGUUGUGAACACAACUCUCAGCAACGGAUAUCUUGGCUCCUGCAACGAUGAAGAACGCAGCGAAAUGCGAUACCUAGUGUGAAUUGCAGAAUUCCGCGAAUCAUUGAGUCUUUGAACGCAAGUUGCGCCCGAGGCUCGACCGAGGGCAUUUCCGUUAGAGCGUCACCGCGCGCCCCCACCGAGCUCCCCAACCAAGGGAGGAGGAGUUCGAGUGCAAUUGGCCGUCCCGAGUUUGUUGCCCUUUGUUGUGGAAUCGGAAUCGGGUCGGCCGAAGUACCUUGGCAGACUCCGUGGCGACACGGCCCACGAUCGGGUGAUCCGAGCCCUUCUAAAGGGGCUCGGAAUUUUUCUAAGUGUGCGGCCGCGCCGCCCCGUGUGUCCCGAAGGAGAGUGUUACAUUGAAGUGAGCAGUGGAACCAGAGUGUUACCAGAGUUACGCACCAGACCUCUAAUC